AACAUUGUUAAGAUCUUGCAUCACUUUUAAUGUGUAUAACAGCUGGUCACCAGGUAGCUAUUGCUAUAAUUUCCAUCUUACAGAUGAGGAUGGCAAGGUGCUGAGAGGGUCUUGGUGCUUCGACCCUCGAGGGACCAUCUUUGUCAUUUUCUUCAGUACCGGGGCUUAGGCGAGGGAUGAGAAGAAACUUGGAGGGAAUCAGAGGGCUUAGGGCGUGAUCAGGAGGACUGGACACAUCUCCUUCCUUCAGCAAGUACAGAACUGGCCGUUCCUCAGCCCAUCCCCAGGUGGAGCCUGCACCACGAGGAGGUCUCAAUGGAUGAUUAAAGCAGCAGUAGAUGAUCACUCGAGCGCAGCCACCAUAGCCAGAGGACAAGUUGCAAUGCACACACAAGAGGUAACACACACACACACAGGUGCACCUGCAUGCACACAUACACACGAACUCACACAUGUGUGCAUGCACAUAUACGGCAGCCAGGAAGCCUGGCUCAGUUACUUGAGUGAGUAAUGUCACCUCCCUGUGGUUUGGCAAUCCCUUCAUCAGUGUGAC
Molecule: long non-coding RNA, 553 nt
Filed under: Heterocephalus glaber (naked mole-rat)
Lineage: Eukaryota; Metazoa; Chordata; Mammalia; Rodentia; Bathyergidae
Description: lncRNA (ENSHGLG00100046857.1)
Source: RNAcentral